GUGGGAAUGUACAUUGGUGCAGCCAUUAAAGGAAAAUGGCAAGGAGGUUCCUCAAAAAAUUAAAACUAGAACUACCAUAGGGGAACCUGAUGUCU
Lynx canadensis (Canada lynx) is the source of this 95-nucleotide long non-coding RNA. RefSeq lists it as uncharacterized. The transcript is spliced from 3 exons. The record is from RefSeq and is a predicted model, not a curated record. Lineage: Eukaryota; Metazoa; Chordata; Mammalia; Carnivora; Felidae.